RNAcentral lists this ribosomal RNA (292 nucleotides) under uncultured bacterium. RNAcentral's name for it is "partial 16S ribosomal RNA". It matches the Rfam family "Bacterial small subunit ribosomal RNA", at positions 505 to 796 of the family's 1533-position model. The record is from RNAcentral.
GUGCCAGCAGCCGCGGUAAUACGGAGGGUGCAAGCGUUGUCCGGAUUUAUUGGGUUUAAAGGGUGCGUAGGUGGCCUGUUAAGUCAGUGGUGAAAGACAGCCGCUCAACGGUUGAGGUGCCAUUGAUACUGACGGGCUUGAAGCAGACAGAGGCUGCCGGAAUGGAUGGUGUAGCGGUGAAAUGCAUAGAUAUCAUCCAGAACACCGAUUGCGAAGGCAGGUGGCUAUGUCUGACUUGACACUGAGGCACGAAAGCAUGGGGAGCAAACAGGAUUAGAUACCCUUGUAGUCC